This 404-nucleotide ribosomal RNA is filed under the name Verrucomicrobiota bacterium. RNAcentral's name for it is "Verrucomicrobia bacterium partial 16S ribosomal RNA". It matches the Rfam family "Bacterial small subunit ribosomal RNA", at positions 355 to 776 of the family's 1533-position model. Lineage: Bacteria; Pseudomonadati; Verrucomicrobiota. The record is from RNAcentral.
UGGGGAAUAUUGGACAAUGGGCGCAAGCCUGAUCCAGCCAUGCCGCGUGAGUGAUGAAGGCCCUAGGGUUGUAAAGCUCUUUCACCGGUGAAGAUAAUGACGGUAACCGGAGAAGAAGCCCCGGCUAACUUCGUGCCAGCAGCCGCGGUAAUACGAAGGGGGCUAGCGUUGUUCGGAUUUACUGGGCGUAAAGCGCACGUAGGCGGACUUUUAAGUCAGGGGUGAAAUCCCGGGGCUCAACCCCGGAACUGCCUUUGAUACUGGAAGUCUUGAGUAUGGUAGAGGUGAGUGGAAUUCCGAGUGUAGAGGUGAAAUUCGUAGAUAUAUGGAGGAACACCGGUGGCGAAAGCGGCUCUCUGGUCUGUAACUGACGCUGAGGCUCGAAAGCGUGGGGAGCGAACAGG